RNAcentral lists this ribosomal RNA (385 nucleotides) under uncultured bacterium. Its description in RNAcentral is "bacterial SSU rRNA". It matches the Rfam family "Bacterial small subunit ribosomal RNA", at positions 355 to 737 of the family's 1533-position model. The record is from RNAcentral.
UGAGGAAUAUUGGUCAAUGGGCGAGAGCCUGAACCAGCCAAGUCGCGUGAAGGAUGACUGUCUUAUGGAUUGUAAACUUCUUUUAUACGGGAAUAACAAGAGUCACGUGUGACUCCCUGCAUGUACCGUAUGAAUAAGCAUCGGCUAACUCCGUGCCAGCAGCCGCGGUAAUACGGAGGAUGCGAGCGUUAUCCGGAUUUAUUGGGUUUAAAGGGUGCGUAGGCGGUUUGUUAAGUCAGCGGUGAAAUCUAGAGGCUCAACCUCGAAACUGCCGUUGAAACUGGCGAACUUGAGUGUAGAUGAGGUAGGCGGAAUUCGUGGUGUAGCGGUGAAAUGCAUAGAUAUCACGAGGAACUCCGAUUGCGAAGGCAGCUUACUAAGGUAC